Molecule: transfer RNA, 86 nt
Filed under: Bacillus amyloliquefaciens
Lineage: Bacteria; Bacillati; Bacillota; Bacilli; Caryophanales; Bacillaceae
Description: tRNA-Lys
Rfam family: tRNA (bases 8-83)
About the family: Transfer RNA (tRNA) molecules are approximately 80 nucleotides in length. Their secondary structure includes four short double-helical elements and three loops (D, anti-codon, and T loops). Further hydrogen bonds mediate the characteristic L-shaped molecular structure. tRNAs have two regions of fundamental functional importance: the anti-codon, which is responsible for specific mRNA codon recognition, and the 3' end, to which the tRNAs corresponding amino acid is attached (by aminoacyl-tRNA synthetases). tRNAs cope with the degeneracy of the genetic code in two manners: having more than one tRNA (with a specific anti-codon) for a particular amino acid; and 'wobble' base-pairing, i.e. permitting non-standard base-pairing at the 3rd anti-codon position.
Source: RNAcentral
GAGCUAUCGGCUGUUAACCGAUCGGUCGCAGGUUCAUCUGACUUUUAAUCAGAGGGUCGAAGGUUCGAGUCCUUCAUGGCUCACCA